This 484-nucleotide ribosomal RNA is filed under the name uncultured bacterium. RNAcentral describes it as "partial 16S ribosomal RNA". It matches the Rfam family "Bacterial small subunit ribosomal RNA", at positions 30 to 507 of the family's 1533-position model. The record is from RNAcentral.
AUUGAACGCUGGCGGCAGGCCUAACACAUGCAAGUCGAGCGGAUGAAGGGAGCUUUCUCCUGGAUUCAGCGGCGGACGGGUGAGUAAUGCCUAGGAAUCUGCCUGGUAGUUGGGGAUAACGUCCGGAAACGGGCGCCAAUACCGCAUACGUCCUGAGGGAGAAAGUGGGGGAUCUUCGGACCUCACGCUAUCAGAUGAGCCUAGGUCGGAUUAGCUAGUUGGUGGGGUAAAGGCCUACCAAGGCGACGAUCCGUAACUGGUCUGAGAGGAUGAUCAGUCACACUGGAACUGAGACACGGUCCAGACUCCUACGGGAGGCAGCAGUGGGGAAUAUUGGACAAUGGGCGAAAGCCUGAUCCAGCCAUGCCGCGUGUGUGAAGAAGGUCUUCGGAUUGUAAAGCACUUUAAGUUGGGAGGAAGGGCAGUAAGUUAAUACCUUGAUGUUUUGACGUUACCAACAGAAUAAGCACCGGCUAACUUCGUG